Molecule: ribosomal RNA, 465 nt
Filed under: uncultured bacterium
Lineage: Bacteria
Description: partial 16S ribosomal RNA
Rfam family: Bacterial small subunit ribosomal RNA
Source: RNAcentral
GACGAACGCUGGCGGCGUGCUUAACACAUGCAAGUCGAACGGACAGGCGCUGCUUGCAGGCUAUUCUAGUGGCGCACGGGUGAGUAACACGUGGGAGAUCUCCCCUUCAUAUCGAGUUACGCCUGGGAAACUGGGUUAAUUCCGUAUUAGCAGCCCUUUGGAGUGUUUUUGUUCGAAAGUCUUAUCGGUGUCGUAUGAGCUCACGGCCUGUCGGCUUGUUGGUGGGGGAAUGGCCUACCAAGGCGGCGACGGGUAGCAGGCCCGGGAGGGUGGACGGGCACAGUGGGACUGAGAGACGGCCCAGACCCCGACGGGUGGGAGCAGGGGGGAAGAUUGCAAAAGGGGCGCGAGGCCGAUGCAGAGACGGCCCGGGGGGGAGGACGGCCUUCGGGUUGGAAACGCAUUGCGCUAGGGACGGAGCCUUUUGUGACGGUACCUAGAUAAGAAGCACCGGCUAACUACGUG